This 253-nucleotide ribosomal RNA is filed under the name uncultured bacterium. RNAcentral's name for it is "partial 16S ribosomal RNA". It matches the Rfam family "Bacterial small subunit ribosomal RNA", at positions 524 to 776 of the family's 1533-position model. The record is from RNAcentral.
UACAGAGGGUGCAAGCGUUAAUCGGAAUGACUGGGCGUAAAGCGUGUGUAGGUGGUUAGAUAAGUUAGAUGUGAAAUCCCUGGGCUUAACCUGGGAACUGCGUUUAAGACUGUUUAGCUAGAGUACUGUAGAGGAUAGUGGAAUUUCCAGUGUAGCGGUGAAAUUCGUAGAUAUUAGGAAGAACACCGGUGGCGAAGGCGGCCCACUGGCUCGAUACUGACGCUGAGGUGCGAAAGCGUGGGGAGCAAACAGG